UACGUAGGGUGCAAGCGUUGUCCGGAAUUAUUGGGCGUAAAGAGCUCGUAGGCGGUUUGUCGCGUCUGCUGUGAAAACCCGAGGCUUAACCUCGGGUCUGCAGUCGAUACGGGCUAGCUAGAGUGUGGUAGGGGAGAUCGGAAUUCCUGGUGUAGCGGUGAAAUGCGCAGAUAUCAGGAGGAACACCGGUGGCGAAGGCGGAUCUCUGGGCCAUUACUGACGCUGAGGAGCGAAAGCGUGGGGAGCGAACAGG
Molecule: ribosomal RNA, 253 nt
Filed under: uncultured bacterium
Lineage: Bacteria
Description: partial 16S ribosomal RNA
Rfam family: Bacterial small subunit ribosomal RNA
Source: RNAcentral